Non-coding RNA from Triticum aestivum (bread wheat), 126 nucleotides. NCBI's taxonomy places the organism in Eukaryota, Viridiplantae, Streptophyta, Magnoliopsida, Poales, Poaceae. The record is from Rfam.
AAUAUACUCCUACCGUCCGAAAAAGCUUGUCCCAAGCUUGUUUCUCAAAUGGAUGUAUCUAGCACUAACUUGGUGCUAGAUACAUUCAUUUGAGUGACAAGCUUUUUCAGACAGAGGGAGUACAAA